GACGAACGCUGGCGGCGUGCUUAACACAUGCAAGUCGAGCGGAAAGGCCCUGUCGGGGGUACUCGAGCGGCGAACGGGGGAGGAACACGUGAGUAAUCUGCCCUUCACUUGGGGAUAACCGCCGGAAACGGUGGCGAAUACCCGAUACGACCAUUCCUCGCAUGAGGUGGCGGUGGAAAGUUUUUCGGUGGGGGAUGUGCUCGCGGCCUAUCCGCUUGUUGGUGGGGGAAUGGCCUACCAAGGCUGGGACGGGUAGCCGGCCUGAGAGGGUGACCGGCCACACUGGGACUGGGACACGGCCCAGACUCCUACGGGAGGCAGCGGUGGGGAAUAUUGGACAAUGGGCGGAAGCCUGAUCCAGCAACGCCGCGUGGGGGAUGACGGCCUUCGGGUUGUAAACCUCUUUCACCUGUGACGAAGCGAAAGUGACGGUAGCAGGAGAAGAAGCACCGGCCAACUACGUG
Molecule: ribosomal RNA, 464 nt
Filed under: uncultured bacterium
Lineage: Bacteria
Description: partial 16S ribosomal RNA
Rfam family: Bacterial small subunit ribosomal RNA
Source: RNAcentral